UGGCCACAACAACCCCAUGCAUUGCUGAAGGCUUGGGGAAGAGUGGUUGGAAGGCUGUGCAGCGGCAAAGGACCUCGGGGUGUUAGCUGGCAGCCAACUGGACAUGAGCCAGCAGUGUGCCCACGUGGCCAAGAAGGCCAGCAGCAACUCAGCUUGCGUUAGAGAUAGCGCAGACAGCAGGAGCAGGAGGUGAUCGUCUCUCUGUACUGGCACACCUCAAGUCAGGCAGCGCCUCGAGUGCUGUGUUCAGCAUUGGACCCCUCAUUAUAAGAAGACAUUGAGGUCCUGAGCAGGGAAGGGCAAUGGAGCUGUGAGGGAUCUGGAGCACAAGUGUGAUGGGAAUGGCUGAGGGAGCCGGGAUGGUUCAGUGUGGAGAAGAGGCUCAGGGAGACCUCAGUGCUGUUUACAACUGAGAGGAGACUGUGCUUGGUGGGGGUCGGCGUCUGCUCCCAGUCCAGUUCCAGCUAUCAGCUUCUGGAAAUCAGACGGACUGAGGACUGAAAAAAUGGAUUUGGGUCCGGACCUGAAUUCCUUCAUCAGAGAUCCAGUCUGCAAUGUUCAGAGAUUAUUCCUGAAAUCAAGAUCAGUGCUGCAAAGUAGAGCUGAGCUCACCACCAAUCUUCCUUUCCCAAGUCUGUGUUUGGUAAUACAGUUUGAUCCAAAUCUCUGGAUUUUCAUAUUGUGGGCAGAGACUGUAGUUUAAACUGUCCUGUACCAGAUUUUAUUUCUCUCCCUGAACAAAUUGAAAAGGUUUCCUUCAGAGCCAAAAUGACAUAAAAUAAAAUACAGCAGUUAAAAAUAAAACUCUGAAUCUCACCAAUAACAGAGCCCAGCAAGUAUUUCCAUCUAAUAGUAAUGCAUUACAUACGGACUCUGGGCAGUACUCUCCCUUUGAAGAUCAUGGGAAUUUUGCCAUUUAUUUCUGCAUAAAAAAUAAAACGCUGAAUGCUCA
This is a long non-coding RNA of Tympanuchus pallidicinctus (lesser prairie-chicken), 952 nucleotides long. RefSeq lists it as uncharacterized. The record is from RefSeq and is a predicted model, not a curated record. The transcript has 3 exons. NCBI's taxonomy places the organism in Eukaryota, Metazoa, Chordata, Aves, Galliformes, Phasianidae.